UAUAUAAAUUUUUCAUAAACAUUUUGUGAUUUCUAUUUCCAAACCUAGAGCUCAAAUCAUUGGUAGUUACUUGACCUCUGAAAAUAUGUUUAAUGUAGUGAUGGAUAUUGGAUUGGUUCUGAGAAAAUUAUGAGUCAAAUAUAAAUUUACAUUUUAAAAACAAGUACAUUUUUAUACAUCCCCCCCCCCCCGGCCGGCCCCAAUGCCUGAAUAACUAUCAUUGCCUCAGUUCAACUAUUUCAACAAAUCUAGUAUAUGCCAGUCUAGUAUUUCGUUUUCUUUACAAAACUAGUAGUGUUACUUAAGCACGUCUUUUGAUUCCUGCUGAUUAGCAAAGGUUGGUACAAAAACAUCCAAUUUUCAGACCUUGAGGAUUGCAGCAUCAAAGUAUAAUUUCAUGACCACAUGCAGUAUUCCACCAAUGCAUCAGAUUCCUCAAAUUUGCCACUGACAAUACCUCUCCCUUUUAAGAGAGCACUUCUUGGUCUAAAAAAUAUAAUGCAGUUUAAUUACUAUGAUCUAAAAACUACAUAUUAAUUUAAUGAAGCAGACCGGCCAUGUAUUCUGUAUGAGAAAAAUGUAGAAUCGAGAGAUAAUGUCUAUUCUUGUGCAAAUAUUCCUAUGUUGACC
Non-coding RNA from Paramuricea clavata, 630 nucleotides. Lineage: Eukaryota; Metazoa; Cnidaria; Anthozoa; Malacalcyonacea; Plexauridae. The record is from the annotation of a GenBank genome assembly.